GUGCUCGCUUCGGCAGCACAUACACUAAAAUUCGAACGAUACAGAGAAGAUUAGCAUGGUCCCUGCAGAAGGAGGACACACCAAUUCAUGAAGUGUUCCAUAUGUUU
Myotis daubentonii (Daubenton's bat) is the source of this 107-nucleotide small nuclear RNA. Lineage: Eukaryota; Metazoa; Chordata; Mammalia; Chiroptera; Vespertilionidae. The record is from RefSeq and is a predicted model, not a curated record.